Molecule: ribosomal RNA, 433 nt
Filed under: uncultured bacterium
Lineage: Bacteria
Description: partial 16S ribosomal RNA
Rfam family: Bacterial small subunit ribosomal RNA
Source: RNAcentral
AGCGAACGCUGGCGGCAGGCCUAACACAUGCAAGUCGAACGAACUCUUCGGAGUUAGUGGCGGCCGGGUGAGUAACACGUGGGAACGUGCCUUUUGGUUCGGAAUAACUCAGGGAAACUUGUGCUAAUACCGAAUGUGCCCUUCGGGGGAAAGAUUUAUCGCCAUUAGAGCGGCCCGCGUCUGAUUAGCUAGUUGGUGAGGUAACGGCUCACCAAGGCGACGAUCAGUAGCUGGUCUGAGAGGAUGACCAGCCACACUGGGACUGAGACCCGGCCCAGACUCCUACGGGAGGCAGCAGUGGGUAAUCUUGCGCAAUGGGCGAAAGCCUGACGCAGCCAUGCCGCGUGAAUGAUGAAAGUCUGAGGAUUGUAAAGUUCUUUCACCGGUGACGAUAAUGACGGUACCCGGAGAAGAAGCCCCGGCUAACUUCGUG